GCUGGGCAUGGUGGUGCAUGACUGUAAUCCCAGUGGCUCAGGAGGCUGAGGCAGGAGGAUCUUGGGUUCAAAGCCAGCCUUCAGCAUCUUAUCGAGGCCCUAAGCAACUCAGUGAGACCCUCUCUCUA
Molecule: small RNA, 128 nt
Filed under: Marmota monax (woodchuck)
Lineage: Eukaryota; Metazoa; Chordata; Mammalia; Rodentia; Sciuridae
Source: RNAcentral